This 74-nucleotide transfer RNA is filed under the name Asanoa ishikariensis. Its description in RNAcentral is "tRNA_His_GTG". It matches the Rfam family "tRNA". Rfam says of the family: Transfer RNA (tRNA) molecules are approximately 80 nucleotides in length. Their secondary structure includes four short double-helical elements and three loops (D, anti-codon, and T loops). Further hydrogen bonds mediate the characteristic L-shaped molecular structure. tRNAs have two regions of fundamental functional importance: the anti-codon, which is responsible for specific mRNA codon recognition, and the 3' end, to which the tRNAs corresponding amino acid is attached (by aminoacyl-tRNA synthetases). tRNAs cope with the degeneracy of the genetic code in two manners: having more than one tRNA (with a specific anti-codon) for a particular amino acid; and 'wobble' base-pairing, i.e. permitting non-standard base-pairing at the 3rd anti-codon position. Lineage: Bacteria; Bacillati; Actinomycetota; Actinomycetes; Micromonosporales; Micromonosporaceae. The record is from RNAcentral.
GUGGUCGUAGCUCAGUAGGCAGAGCGCCGGACUGUGGAUCCGGAGGUCCGGGGGUUCGAGUCCCCGCGAUCACC